UUCCAAUGUCUAAUUGCUCUUUCUGUGAAAAAAAUGUUUCUAAUGUCCAACCUAGACCUCACCUGGUGCAGCUUAAGACUGUCCUCUAGUCCUAUCACUCGUUGCUUGGGAGAAGAGACCAACCCUCACCUUGCAACAACCUCCUUUCAGGUAGAAACAUGGCACCACAUCCUCAUGUGGCUGCGCUGACAGACAUGUGGACUCUGUGGAGCUCCUAGGGGAACAGGAUGGAAGCACCUGACGUGAACACUUGUUGGCAACUAUACAGCCAAAGAAACACGGAAGGUUUGAAGCCAUUCCCCCUUGGCCUGUCACUACAUGAGAUGCUCCAGUUAUACUUUAAAUUGUAUUUGAAGAGAGAUGCUCCAGUCCCUUAAUCAUCUUUGUUGCCCUCCGCUAGACCUGCUGCAGGAGCUCCAUGUCUCUCUUUUCCUGAGAAGCACAGAACUGGGCACAGCACGCCAGGUGAGGCCUCAUCACGACUGAAUAGAGGGGCAGGAUCACCUCCCUCGACCUGCUGUCAAUGCUCUUCCUAAUGCAGCUCGGGAUACCAUUGGCCCUCCUGGCCGCCAAGGUACACUGCUGGCUCAUGGACAGUUUGUUGUCCACCAGGACGGAAUUCACAGAAGUUAUCUGUAUAAACGAAGCCCUUUAUGGAGUCUAUACAUCCCCGCAGAUCACGGAUGUUCCCUGUACAUGCCCACGGCAGUACGGAUGUUCCCUGUACAUGCCCACGGCAGUACGGAUGUUCCCAUACGCGGGUGUCUCCGAGCGGGAACGCCGGGCUCGCAGCGCCCCCUGCGGGAGCACAGGGGAACUGCAGGCGCCGGCACAGGGCUCACGGCACGGGAGGGGAAACACCCACCAAAAAAUCCAACUUCACUCGCAUCACAAACCCGCUGUUACAAGGGCGAACUCCUAUCGUUGCAUCUUUCAUGGAGGAAAAAAAAAAUCGUUGGAGUUUUUAUUUGUAGUCUUUGCCUCCUGCUUGCUAAUAGGCGUUCAGCACCAACCUGCCUUCCCUGUGAUGCAGUUUUAGUAUCCAGAAAUGACAACGCAGCAGGUUUCCCCACAUCAAAGCUCUGACAGGAGUCUUUGAACUACAAAAGCCAUAAUCAAAAAGUAAUAAAAACCACCCUGAGACAGGAUUUGUGUUGUCAGCCUUAUACGGCAUGAAAUGGCAUCUUUUAGCACUCAUUUAUAUUUAAUUCAAAGUGAAAGGAGCCCAAAAUGAAAAUAUGGUUGUCUAAAUAGAUACUUUCUUGUAUAUUCCCACAGUAACACGUGUUCCUAAUUUGCAGGAAAUAGAUCUUGAAAGCAUUAGCUGAAACAAACUGCUAAAUUAAUAAAUACUGAUGGUCCUGUUGUUAAGUAGAAUAAUAACCUAAAGAUGCAGUUUGUUAUGACAUCCAGUAAACAUUCUCCUUGUAGUACAUCAGUAAUUACCUCACUUUUUUUUUCCUUUUUUAAUCCUGUUACUGUCUUGUGUGACAAGGUCUAGUGUUUGGAGUUUCUUGUGCUCCUACAUGACAAAAAAAAAAAAAAAGUAUGGAUAUGCAUCCCCCUCUCUCUAUUUCUUCUCAGCUUCUAGUAACUUCACAAAACCAAACCAGAGGUCUACUUCUCUCUUCAUCAGAGACCUCACAGUAAGUUAUUUUUUCCAACUGUUCAUUUAAGAGCAUCCCUAAGAAAGAAGGUGCAAACUGACAGUCUGCAGCGGGAUAGGGAACAUCUCCCUCAAAUGCUACCAUUUUCAGGGACUGUCCCCUCCCAUUCCAUCAGGACUGUCAAGGCCCACAAGCCACCAGGCUCAACCUCGAUGAACUUCUGGUAGGACACUCACCAGCUGGCAACAUCCGAGUCCUACUGUGUUUUCUGUCUUUGGCUGUCCUUCCCAAGACUCCUUUGUGAGAAAGGAGAGCUCAGUUCCAACCUAGACCUGAAGAACUUGACCAGGUGCAAAGACAUUGCUGCAGGUUCAGGAUGUCAGGAUGAGGUAAAGGUCACUCCUAGCUCAUGGACCUUGAGUCACAGUGGGCGUACUUACAGUGGCACUUUGCCACUUCCCCACUACCUUAGGACUGUUUAGCUGUGUCUCCUGACAGAUCAAAACCAAACAUCGUUAGAAUCAGCUGUUGGCAUUCGGAUCCUACUUGGGUUUUGUAGUGUUGCACAAGUGCUAGCAGCAGUGGGCAACCCACUUCCAAAGACAGAACACUCACUCUUACCCGGAUAAUUUGAUAGACAAAGUUCCCUGGAAGAUGCAGUGAUGAUCCUGUCAUUUGUCCUGUUAUUUGUUUCUUCUUGCUUAGUUUCCUGCUGAUCUGCAGUGGAAAAAUUUGUAUUAGGCAUUCAUUAUGACUCUAACAGCAGACUCUGCUCUUGCUG
This is a long non-coding RNA of Chiroxiphia lanceolata (lance-tailed manakin), 2388 nucleotides long. RefSeq lists it as uncharacterized. NCBI's taxonomy places the organism in Eukaryota, Metazoa, Chordata, Aves, Passeriformes, Pipridae. The record is from RefSeq and is a predicted model, not a curated record. The transcript has 2 exons.